Molecule: long non-coding RNA, 226 nt
Filed under: Nicotiana benthamiana
Lineage: Eukaryota; Viridiplantae; Streptophyta; Magnoliopsida; Solanales; Solanaceae
Description: long non-coding RNA (NBEN_LNC016920)
Source: RNAcentral
UCAGCUACUAGAAUGCUUAAGUUAAGCAAUUACAAAUAAAAACUUAAGUACAUUUGAUUCUGCAAUUUUUGCUAUUUUAGGCCCGUCUACUAGAAUGCUGAAGUUUGUCUGAUUGCCUUUGCUACUUCAAGGUCGUAUGCCUAAAGUUAUGCGAAAAGUGGUUACGCUUGGAAUUUUUUUUGCAAAGCAAGUAUAAGUUCAAAUGUGACCUAAAAACAAAUAUAAA